AUGAGCACCGGCAAGGCGCCCGCGCUCUACCACGUCCGCGCUCGGUCGCUUACGAGCAAGGUGCUCGACCUCGACUCCUCGCCGGCGUGCCCGUCCCCGCCACCGUUCCGGUCACACGUCACGGUGCCGUUUCUCUGGGAGGACGCGCCGGGGAAACCCAAGCUGCGCGCAGCCCGGCCGAGCGCCCUGUCGCUCCCUUCCGCGAGCCCAGCCCCAGUUCUUGCUGACGGCGGCCCGACUGCCAGAGUGGCCGGCGGUCACGAGGACGGUCACGGCGCCCAUGCGCGCCCCGUGCUGCUGAAGCUGAAGCUGCCGCCGCGGCUGCAAGCGGCGGAGCACCCGCUCUCCUCCCCCAGGACCGUGCUCCAGGGCCCCUACUUCGGCGGCGGCGGCGGCGGAAACAAGCCGCCGAGGCCGCUUAGGAGGAUCGCGAGGACGGCGAGCUGUCAGAUGAAUCUGCGCGCCGGCGGGGCCCUCUUUGCUUGGAGGAAGGGCGCGGCAACGGCAACGGCAUCAGCUGGCAGCAAGGAGGGCGGCCACUGUCAGCUCUACGCCGUGGCGCCGGACGCGUCGUGCUGCUCGCCCGCGGCGUCGUCAGCGUCCUCGUCGUCGUCUUCGUCCAUGUCCUACUUCUUUGAUGACAACAGCCGCAGGCAAGCCGAUGGGCGCGAGGACUCGGAGGAUGGCGAGGUUGGUGACGACGGCGCCAAGGGGUCGGUGAGGAUCACCAGGUUUAGGAGGAACCGAAGCCUUCCCACUAUGUCCAGAUCGCAUCUCUGGGCCAACAUCCGCAAGGGCGUCAAGCAGAUUAGUCCAUGGAGCUACAAGCCGACAUAG
Molecule: ribosomal RNA, 837 nt
Filed under: Triticum aestivum (bread wheat)
Lineage: Eukaryota; Viridiplantae; Streptophyta; Magnoliopsida; Poales; Poaceae
Description: partial small subunit ribosomal RNA
Source: RNAcentral